Molecule: ribosomal RNA, 497 nt
Filed under: uncultured bacterium
Lineage: Bacteria
Description: partial 16S ribosomal RNA
Rfam family: Bacterial small subunit ribosomal RNA
Source: RNAcentral
GAUGAACGCUGGCGGCGUGCCUAAUACAUGCAAGUCGAGCGAACGGACGAGAAGCUUGCUUCUCUGAUGUUAGCGGCGGACGGGUGAGUAACACGUGGAUACCCUACCUAUAAGACUGGGAUAACUUCGGGAAACCGGAGCUAAUACCGGAUAAUAUUUUGAACCGCAUGGUUCAAAGGUGAAAGACGGUCUUGCUGUCACUUAUAGAUGGAUCCGCGCUGCAUUAGCUAGUUGGUAAGGUAACGGCCUACCAAGGCAACGAUGCAUAGCCGACCUGAGAGGGUGAUAGGCCACACGGGAACUGAGACACGGUCCAGACUCCUAAGGGAGGCAGCAGUAGGGAAUCGGACGCAAUGGGCGAAAGCAUGGCGGAGCAACGCCGCGUGAGUGAUGAAGGUCUUGGGAUCGUAAAACCCUGUUAUUAGUGAAGAACAGAUGUGUAAGUAACUGAGCACAUCGUGACGGUACCGAAUCAGAAAGCCACGGCUAACUACGUG